UCCCGUCUCUGGAGACUCCGAGCCCGGCGGGCCCCACGCUCCACGCGAGCAGAAUUCCCGCAGGUCUCCCGCCCGGGUGGCCAGAGGCGGUGGCGGGGAUGCCGGGCUCCGGGAGGCGCUCGGGCUCCGAGAAGCCGCUUAGCCCCGCGCUCCUCCCUCCUCAGUGCCGCGGCCGGCGGGCCGGGAUUCCCGCGGGUCUAGGCGGCUGCGAGCUGCAGCCGGCGCGGGUCCCCGGCUCGGCUGCGGUGCGGUUGCUCACCUUGCCCGCCUCGCCUCCCACGGCUUCCAGCGGGCGCGGAGCUCUCCUCUGCGCGCCUCCCCGGCCCGUCUCGGUUUCCCUUCUUCGUCCUCUAGACCACCCAGCACAACUCUGUCGGCCUCCGCGGCCCUGAGAGAGCAUCCGGCGCCGGCAGAGUCGGACCAGCUCGACUUCACGCCUCUCAUGGGCUCUCCUCCAGGGUACCGUGGCCCAGAUGAGAAACUGAAUCUCCAGGAAGUUAAGUGACUUGCCCAAGACCCGCGGAGCUGGGAUUCAAGCCUGGAUCUGCCUGACCCUUUCUGCUAUAUCAUGCUGCUCUCCCAGACACUGGACAGGAUCUCUCGUGACUCUUGAAGACAUGAUGGAUGGUGUAAGGGCUCAGAAGGGGCUCCCAUCUGAAGGACAACUAUGGAAUGUUCUUAUAGGUGGGAACAGGUCAGUCUGUAAAGGUCUUUAGAGGCUGCUGUGGGCCUCUGCCUGCUCCCCAGUUCUGACCAGUAUAUGCCAACGACCAGAAGAUGCAGAGCAUGCAGGCCUUUGACAGUAGGAAGUAGGGGGGAUAGAGAAAAAGGACAGAGAAAAGCUCAGAUAGCAGGAUCAGGAUCUAGGGAGAUCUCCACAGACUGGAGUGAAGAGGUGAACUUCGCAGGAUGAAAUGUCAUGAGGAUAAAUGCUGGGGCCCAUCUUGCUGACAGGAAAAAAAUUGUAGAGAGGAACAGCAGCUUACAAGAAAGGGAUUUAGGA
Long non-coding RNA from Cervus elaphus (red deer), 1003 nucleotides. RefSeq lists it as uncharacterized. The record is from RefSeq and is a predicted model, not a curated record. Lineage: Eukaryota; Metazoa; Chordata; Mammalia; Artiodactyla; Cervidae. The transcript is spliced from 2 exons.